RNAcentral lists this transfer RNA (73 nucleotides) under Daphnia pulex (common water flea). It matches the Rfam family "tRNA". From Rfam's summary of the family: Transfer RNA (tRNA) molecules are approximately 80 nucleotides in length. Their secondary structure includes four short double-helical elements and three loops (D, anti-codon, and T loops). The record is from Rfam by way of RNAcentral. Lineage: Eukaryota; Metazoa; Arthropoda; Branchiopoda; Diplostraca; Daphniidae.
GGUCCAGUGGCGCAAUGGAUAACGCGUCUGCCUACGGAGCAGAAGAUUGCAGGUUCGAUCCCUGCCUGGAUCG